GUUGGAGGCAGGAAAGGCCCUCGAGUGAUCUCCAGGGUUCAGGGAUGCGUUCUUUGGCUGCAGGUCCCGCCCAGCGCGUUCCUUCCUAGGUCCCUAGCCCACACAAAACGGGAGCACCACGAUUUUCUGCCGAGAAAGUUGUGCGAUCUCAACAGAAAACUUUCUUAAACUCUGGAGUGAGGACGUGGAGUCAAAAGAAAAAAGAAAUGGCAACCAUGAAAAGUUUCCAGACAUAAACCACCCAACCCCAAGUUGUUGCCUGUGCGGCAUCCCGCCGAGCCACUGCAGCCGUUCCGAGGACACCCUUGCUCUUUGCACUGCCGAGCCCUCGUGCCCUCCGUGUCACGCAAGGCCAGCCAACCUUGGCACGGAUUCAUCAUGUAUGGCAUGAUUCGCACUGGUUUUACUGUACAAAGUUUUCUGUUCUUAUGUGAAAAAAAUGGUUUAGUUACAGAAAACAAAGGACAUUUUUCUACAGCUAUUCCCUAGCGUGUAAGCAUUACAGUCGUGCGUCUUUGGGUUGGAUUGUUUAAAUAUUUGAAUUUUAAACUUGCCAUAGCUGAUUCAAGUUUCAUAGCAAAUCAUUCGGGGAAUUUUGGCCUGAGAUUUGGACAAUUUCCAGUAAUUUCUGAAAUAUCCCUAAAUACACAUUUUUACGCUA
Meriones unguiculatus (Mongolian gerbil) is the source of this 661-nucleotide long non-coding RNA. RefSeq lists it as uncharacterized. The transcript is spliced from 2 exons. The record is from RefSeq and is a predicted model, not a curated record. Lineage: Eukaryota; Metazoa; Chordata; Mammalia; Rodentia; Muridae.